Molecule: ribosomal RNA, 1410 nt
Filed under: metagenome
Description: bacterial SSU rRNA
Rfam family: Bacterial small subunit ribosomal RNA
Source: RNAcentral
AGAGUUUGAUCCUGGCUCAGAACGAACGUUGGCGGCGUGGAUUAGGCAUGCAAGUCGAACGAGAACGUCACCUUCGGGUGGCUAGUAAAGUGGCGAACGGGUGAGUAUCGCGUGGGAAACCUGCCCUCGAGUUGGGGAUAACACUCCCAACGGAAUGCUAAUACCGAAUAAGACCACGGUGUCGCAUGGCACUGAGGUCAAAGGUGGCCUCUACUUGUAAGCUACCGCUUGAGGAUGGUCCCGCGUCCCAUUAGCUUGUUGGUAGGGUAAUGGCCUACCAAGGCUGCGAUGGGUAGCUGGUCUGAGAGGAUGGUCAGCCACACUGGGACUGAGAUACGGCCCAGACUCCUACGGGAGGCAGCAGUCGAGAGGCUUCGGCAAUGGGGGAAACCCUGACCGAGCGACGCCGCGUGGGCGAUGAAGGUCGUGAGAUUGUAAAGCCCUGUCAGGAGGGAAGAAAUGCGGGGAGUCAAACAGGCUUUCCGUUUGACGGUACCUCCAGAGGAAGCUCCGGCUAACUCCGUGCCAGCAGCCGCGGUAAUACGGGGGGAGCAAACGUUGUUCGGAAUUACUGGGCGUAAAGGGCGAGUAGGCGGGCCGGUAAGUGGAAUGUGAAAGGCCCUGGCUCAACCAGGGACGUGCAUUCCAAACUGCCAGUCUUGAGUACAGGAGAGGAUGGGGGAAUUCCCGGCGUAGCGGUGGAAUGCAUUGAUAUCGGGAGGAACACCAGUGGCGAAGGCGCCCAUCUGGCCUGAUACUGACGCUGAUUCGCGAAAGCUAGGGGAGCAAACAGGAUUAGAUACCCUGGUAGUCCUAGCCGUAAACGGUGAGCACUAGGUGUAGGAGGCAUCGACCCCUCCUGUGCCGCAGCUAACGCAUUAAGUGCUCCGCCUGGGGAGUACGACCGCAAGGUUGAAACUCAAAGGAAUUGACGGGGGCCCGCACAAGCGGUGGAGCAUGUGGUUUAAUUCGAUGCAACGCGAAGAACCUUACCCAGGUUUGACAUGCACCGGACAGGUGUGGAAACACAUUUUCCCUUCGGGGUCGGUGCACAGGUGCUGCAUGGCUGUCGCCAGCUCGUGUCGUGAGAUGUUGGGUUAAGUCCCGCAACGAGCGCAACCCUUGUCCUUAGUUGCCAUCAAGUGAAGUUGGGCACUCUAGGGAGACUGCCGUCGAUAAGGCGGAGGAAGGUGGGGAUGACGUCAAGUCCUCAUGGUCCUUACGCCUGGGGCUACACACGUGCUACAAUGGCUGGUACAAUGGGUUGCUAUGCCGCGAGGUGGAGCUAAUCUCAAAAAACCAGUCUCAGUUCGGAUUGCAGUCUGCAACUCGACUGCAUGAAGGCAGAAUCGCUAGUAAUCGCUGAUCAGCAGGCAGCGGUGAAUAUGUUCCCGGGCCCUGUACACACCG